CCCUGUGGCUCAGUUGGUAGAGCAUGGUGUUUUCGACGCCAGGGUUGUGGGUUUGAUUCCCACAGGGG
This 68-nucleotide transfer RNA is filed under the name Salmo salar (Atlantic salmon). It matches the Rfam family "tRNA". From Rfam's summary of the family: Transfer RNA (tRNA) molecules are approximately 80 nucleotides in length. Their secondary structure includes four short double-helical elements and three loops (D, anti-codon, and T loops). Lineage: Eukaryota; Metazoa; Chordata; Actinopteri; Salmoniformes; Salmonidae. The record is from Rfam by way of RNAcentral.